CCGCUCACUCUAAUAAAAAACAUGUAAUCGUAUUUAUUUUCCUUCCAUUUAGUCAGAGGCGCUGAUGUCGGCCUUGUGAUUGGUGGAACAUGACUUUUGACAAAUCCUGCGCUAUCUGUGAAUCUGUAAUCUGUGUUCGUGUUCGUUGUCGUUCACUUAUUUUAUAUGGUCGGUUAUGUGAUGUGUUUGUGUCACCAUAAAAAGCUGAUAUUCAGUCGUGUUUUUUGAUAUUUUUGUUAUUUCAUAAUCGAGUACCUUUUUAAAGGUCUAAUGGCUCCGUUCAGCUGUUGUGUGCAGACGGUGGAAAAAUUCGACAAGUAAACAUUUAUUUAA
RNAcentral lists this long non-coding RNA (333 nucleotides) under Diabrotica virgifera virgifera (western corn rootworm). RNAcentral's name for it is "uncharacterized LOC126881340". Lineage: Eukaryota; Metazoa; Arthropoda; Insecta; Coleoptera; Chrysomelidae. The record is from RNAcentral.